Molecule: long non-coding RNA, 203 nt
Filed under: Hordeum vulgare
Lineage: Eukaryota; Viridiplantae; Streptophyta; Magnoliopsida; Poales; Poaceae
Description: long non-coding RNA (HVUL_LNC010237)
Source: RNAcentral
AUAAAUCUAGCGCAGAUUUCAGCGCUUCCGCACUAUGAGGAUUGGCUUUCAUAAGAAUCAACGAGUCAUCCGCAAAGAGAAGAUUGGUAAUAGGUGGUGCGGCUCUACAGACUUUCUCUCCCGAUAUAUUUUCAUUUUCCUCUACAUGUGUUAAUAAAGCAUUCAACCCUUGUGUACACAACAAAAAAGAUAAGGUGACAACG